This 67-nucleotide transfer RNA is filed under the name Xenopsylla cheopis (oriental rat flea). RNAcentral's name for it is "tRNA-Met". The record is from RNAcentral. Lineage: Eukaryota; Metazoa; Arthropoda; Insecta; Siphonaptera; Pulicidae.
AAAAAGAUAAGCUAAUUAAGCUAAUAGGUUCAUACCCUGUAUAUAGAAGUCGACCCUCUUCUUUUUA